This 255-nucleotide ribosomal RNA is filed under the name uncultured bacterium. RNAcentral's name for it is "partial 16S ribosomal RNA". It matches the Rfam family "Bacterial small subunit ribosomal RNA", at positions 524 to 776 of the family's 1533-position model. The record is from RNAcentral.
UACGUAGGGGGCUAGCGUUGUCCGGAAUCAUUGGGCGUAAAGAGCGUGUAGGCGGCCCGGUAAGUCCGCUGUGAAAGUCGGGGGGCUCAACCCUCGAAUGCCGGUGGAUACUGUCGGGCUAGAGUGCGGAAGAGGCGAGUGGAAUUCCUGGUGUAGCGGUGAAAUGCGCAGAUAUCAGGAGGAACACCGAUUGCGAAGGCAGCUCGCUGGGACGUAACUGACGCUGGAGGAGCGAAAGCGUGGGGAGCGAACAGG